This 6431-nucleotide long non-coding RNA is filed under the name Sus scrofa (pig). RNAcentral's name for it is "lncRNA (ENSSSCG00040071531.1)". The record is from RNAcentral. Lineage: Eukaryota; Metazoa; Chordata; Mammalia; Artiodactyla; Suidae.
GUAAUUUAAAAACAAUCUUAAACCCACUUAAGUGUUCAUUCACCACAGAUGUAUAACAGGGAUCAACUAUAUAAGAGUGAGAAGUUGGAGGCAAAUUUGCUUUUGACACACCCGGGGAAACAAAAGAGAGAGAGGCUGCCUGUAACAAGUUGUUCUGCGUGCAGCUGGCUGAGGAGACCACUUUCACUUUUGAAAGCAUUAAGUUUGCUCAGGAUGACAAUUUUUCUUCCUUCUUAAAAUGCAAACCAGGAUGCUAGCCUACAACUUCCUUUCUAGCUAUAUUGUUAAUAAAGCCCAAAAGGCUUUGAAAAGAACCAAACUUUUUCUUUUUUUUUUUCAAUGCAGAAGACCCUGAUUCUGAUACGGAAACAUGAGACACAUGCUUUUAGAAAAAUCAGAGGUCUGUCAUUUCUUGAAUAUAAGCAAAUGAUACACCACACAAAGCCUUCUAUAUGCCGGGCAACUUUAACACUUGUGAUGUUCAAAGCUAUGUUUUACUCUUGAGAAAGCCCACCACAAUCAGAUUAGAAAGCUGUAAAUUAAGUGAGGGUUCGGGGUGGCUGGAGGGAAAAUGAGGAUUAGACCAUUUGGAUCCUGCAAAGAGGGAAACACACAGUAGGUAAAGAGUCCGUACUUCCUUAGAACCCUGGCCAUCUAACGAUGAGAUUCUUACUCUGGGAAAAGUACAAAAGAGCCAGGAACCUCCACAAGGCUACCUACAAAAAGCAGCAACCAUCAAACACAAGCAACUGAGUUCAGUUGCAACAGAGACCCUCCUUACUCCAGGGCAGAUUCACCUGGGGGAGCACCUGAACAGCCUAGCAGCCCCCUCUCUGCCUCGCACCCCAGGAGACCUUCGCUUUUCUCCUCCAGGGCUGGCUCUCCCUGUCAACGGCUUUCCACAUUUCCCCCUUCCUUUGGAACAACCAAAACCCACCAGAUAGAAUACGAUUGUAUUUAUUUACCAUCGAAUUGAAGUUUGGAAAGGAAAAAAGGUAUUAAUCUGUAUUACCCACUUCCUGCUCUCAACUUUUCCCCAAACCGAUCAGUUUUUGCCUUCCAGCCUCCUACCCACACCCAGCGCUCCCACUCUCCUCCUCUCCCCAUCUCGUUCUCACAGUCUCUCUCUCACACACACACACCCCCCCCACCACUUGGUCCAAUCUGGUACCUGCCUAACAACAACAGUAUGACAAGCAACAUCUGUUUGUAAAAAAAAAAAAAGCCAAAGUCAAACCUUAACGUUUUCUGGCUAGGUUUCUUUUUUCCUUUUGUCCCUGACUCUAAAAGGGGAGGGGGCAAAAAGAAAUAUUAAGAUUUGUAUUCAAUGUCGGCUCCAACGAGGCAGCCACCGUACUCCCCUAGAGUUAUUUCAAGGUAAAGCAAUUUUAGGGAAAACCGCUGCAGUAUUUAUGGCUGUCUCCCCUGAAGCAAGCCCAGUCACAUAAAUCCAACAGAUCAGAUUCCCAGAAGUCAGGUUUUUUUCCUAACAGCUUUAUAUCCAUCUUCUAAUUAGAAUGAUAGGAUCGUGCAUGCAUGUGUGUGUGUGUGUGUUGGGGUGAUGAAAGAGAGAGAGAAGAGCAAGACAGAAAAAGAAACGGUCCAGUCUCCCCUCAUUUACAGCACACGGGCAUAUAAACAGGCACAUUUACACGGCUGCCACGCACGAGAGCAGGCACGGCGAGCAGGAGGCUGCGGCAGAAAUCCGCACAGCUGUGGCCAUCGGAAACAGGCCCCACCGUUCCCCCACUGAGACGUGAAUUUCUGGAAAGCUACCAACCAUCCACAGAGUCACAAUGCGAAGGAUCAAGCUACCUAGACGGGGAGGGGGAGGGGUGGGAAGAAGCUGGUGAGGAAGAGAAAGGCUCCCUCACCCACUAAACGGCGUCGCCCUCAGGGAGGAGAAACCGUUUCACUCAGGGUUUGGAAGAAACCCAUACACAUUAAGGGAAAAAUAAAUUCAGACAAGUUGCUAAGGAGACUUGUGUAAACUCCAAGCGCAGGCAUAUUUCUUGGCCUUUCCCCCUGGGCUCCAUCUUGCAUUCUGAUCACGCUGCUCUGCGGCAACGUUGCACCAACCUUCUGCAUUCAUCUUGGCCUUCCCCGUGCAGACUGGCAAAGCACGCUGGUUGUAUAUAUCAUCAUCGUUCAUACUUAACAAGUUAAAAGGGUGUGUGUGUGUGUGUGUGUGUGUGUGUGUGUGUGUGUGUGUGUGACUAGUUGGAGGGAGAGAGUGGUGGGGAAAGAGGCAGGGAAAGCAUCUAGCGCUGGAAAUUUCCCUCUGCCUGUGGAGUCCGUCCUUUCACCACUCUGCCAGCCUCCCCCUCCCACCUCUCAUCUCCAGUUAAAACCCUCUAUCUCCUGGCAUCACUGCAGAUGCCAAUGGAGGGACCCUGACUUCUGCAGAAAAGGGUGCCUCCCACAGGGUGGAACCCUGCCCCCGCUUCCUGCUCAGGAGGGUGUCCCAGAGAGAUGAGCUUUUUGAAAACUACCUGCAACGCUUCACAAAACCUCUACAUCAGACCUGUUUAGAUCCUAAACCAGCUAGCUUUUCCGAGGACAGACUCCGGCGUGGCGUUCUUCUCCCACAGCGACACACCUUCAGCGGCAGCUGAUGCAUGUCAACAUUUGAUUUAGGGGAAAAUUAACAUUUUCUUUCAGGACGGAGAUGUUUGUACUGUAGGAACCAAUAUUUUCCUUUCUCAGCCUCCUGUAUGAGAAUUUCUAAAAUCUUCCCUAGGACACAGAAGGGAUAGACAAUCCAGUAGCCUAAAUCACUGUUCAGGGUGCUGGGACAAACCAAAGUCAGGCUUCCGUGUGCGUGUGCGUGUGUGAGUGUGUGCAUGCACGCGCGCGUGCCCCUGCCUGUCUCGGGCAGGUUAGGAGGACACAGACCAGACAGCUGGAGGGGAAGUGUCUGCUCGGUCCCUUCUCAUAUUUAAGACGCUCACAGCAUCUGCCCACCAGCCACUACAGAACAGCCAGCCAACCAGGCCUGCUACUGUUGUCACAGUUUUCAGGGGUGGGGGUGGGAUGAGGGAUGGGUAAGGGGACAGGAAAAGUUUCGACGUUCAGUAGCGCUGAGUGUGUUUCUUCGUGCUCCGAGACGGUUACGCAGCUCCCAUCUCUUCCCUCUGCCAACCGGUAUUUGGUUUUCACACUUCAAAGCUAAAGCAAGCUGUGCUGCCUCAGUUGAAACCAGGCAGCCGGGCAACCCUGAAGCUAGCAAGACGGAGGCCUGCUCCUGCCAUUCGCGGAGAAAGACUGAGCCCUGCACCAGCCCCGCUGGCCCAUCCUUAACCAACAAUUCCACGUGAGCGAGCCCUAGACUUUAGGGAAGAGGAGACCACUGGCGUUCUUUGUGACCUUUCCCCUACAAGGCAUGUCCUCAGAUGUUUUGUGUCGCUGAGCCAUCAUGACUCAAUCAAAAUGAAAAAUGAACCUUGAGGGAGAGGAGCAGGGUGGGCCACUGGGCCACUGCCCUGUGACCUGCUUGGCUUGCAGCAGGGGACUGACACCUGCAUGUUCUCACUUGUCCAGGAAGCUGCAGUAGCUCCAACCCCAGCAAAUCCUGCCUCAUCGCCUGCUGGCUAUUUGUUCUGCCUGCUGGAAAGAGGAGGACCAGACCGUCUCUCCCUAAUGUGAAGACAUACUUGCUAGCUCGCGGCAUGAUCUUGUAUCAUCAAAGAGGGGAAGAACUUAAUUCACAAGGUCAGUACAACACCUAGUCCUGCAAUGGAGGAUUCUCUUCCAUUUAAUCUGCCCCUCCCCAAGUGCUUUCCUAAGCUUGCGUACGACUUUCUCAAAUACCCCAAAGAACUGAAAACAGAUUAGAUACCUCCUGCCCUCCCCCUCCAGCCCCGCAAGUCCUCUGUGGACAAAGGACAGAUAGCAGUGAACAAAGGGUCCACACAGCCGGCUAGUCUGGAUAACAAACUGCACGAGGUGCAUAAAAAGUUAAUUCAGAUAAUUUUCAUGUAAGAAAUAUGGACUUUCACAUCAUAUUGGGAAAUCUUUAAGGCUUUUGUUCUUUGAGAUGCAGAAAGAAAAACAGCCAACUUAACAGUGGCUGGCAAACUAUACUGCUGCCCAGAUGCAUCUCAAAGCAUGCAGUAAUACUACUUCUUUUUAAAUAUGGGUAUAGGUACAUAUUUGUGUGUACACAGAGAGAGACAGAGAAAUACACACACUUGCUAUCCAAAUCCCUCACUUCUAGCCUUAAGGUCAAAGACCACAUCUUUCUCCACAUUUUGUAAACUGACCUUCUCUUAUUCCACCUUGAAAUUCAGUCUUACGUCCUCUCCACCUUUUACGAGGUAAUGCUUUAGACUGCAAAAUGCUUUACACGUAAGUAUGUCUAGUUGCUAUUAUUACUCCAUAUCAUGGCAGAGAGAUGACACAGAGGAGAGUUAAGUGUCUUUCCAAAGCUCAUAUAUUUUUGUAAUAACAGCAACAAAAUUAAAGUUCCCCUUCCUGCCCCAGUUGAACUGGUGAGAGGGUCCUAGGUCAGGCUGAAGGAAUUUCAUGGCACCCCUUCUCUCGUUUUGCUUUAUUUGUUAGUCAGGCAUUUUCUUUCACCUAUAAUCCCAAGAUACAGGAAACCCUGGCCCCACAUGCUCUAGCAGCUGCCAACCUGGGUAACCCCAAAGACUAGGCCACCAGACACUCAUGUUGGAGGCUGAAGUCAGAGGUCAAUUAAGGCUGAGAAAGGUCUCCAAUAGUGUGUUCUAGUCCAGCCAGUCCAACGGGCUUUAUGAACAUCAGGAGGUCAUCACUGCCAUGGGAAAAGGGGGUUGAUGAGCAAACGUAUACUUAGUAUUUGCCAUUCCUCACUGACCCCAAACUCCUCCUGUAUCAGCACUUCUUUGCCUUCCUCAUGACAAUGGGAAGAGCUAUUCAGUGGCCCUGUAAUCCUGAUCAGGAGCGACAGAUGACAGGUCACAGGCUCCUGAUUCUUCCAAACGGUUUCAGUCUAUCUAGACCCAGACUAAAGUCCAUCUAUCCGCUGUCCGGUGGAAUUGUUACUGGUUGCUGAAUUUGUAUUUGUUUUCACACAUGGGCGUGACUGAGGAGAUGAUGAUUUCAAGAUCAGAAGAGAGGGCAUCAAAUGCACAGUAUCCUGUGAAAAAUGCUGACAUAUUUUCUAUUUAUUUCCAAGGCAGGUGGUUAUUAAAGUAUAGCUGAAGAAGUCCCAGGGUCCCUCAGGGGGUACUCAAGGUGGUUAAGCUGCUAUUCUUGGGUAGGAUUCAUACCCAUAACAGAAUCACAUCUCUGUGUUUUCUUCUCAUAUGAUUUAUUUCUGAAACUUAAUAUGGACCAGACAUCACCUCACGGAUGGCUCAUAAAAGCACAAUCAUAUUUCCCAUUUCUUUUGGUGUGAUAUUUUGGGGGUGGCAGACAAGAAUGGGUGGGGUAAGUGGAAAGUUGAGACUUGAAUCCCAUCUACAUGAUUUGUAAACAGAAAAGGCAGCAAAAGCCAUAGAUCUAGUCCAAAAUUCUUCCUUGAGGUAUUUUAAUUAUACCAAGAAGAACUCAAGAUGCCACGUUUCUCUUUUUCUUUUCAGAAAUUAAUCCCCUUAUGCCAACGCUGGCUGACCGGCAGGAGGUGUCUCAAGUACAGACUGAGAAAGAUCCUGAAAUCCUGCCUGAUCUCUGUAGGAAAGAGUUUCACAAGCAUCAGGAAGUCAUCACUGCCAUGGGAAAAGGGGGUUGAUGAGGAAAUAUAUACUAAGUAUUUGCCAUUCCCGACUGACCCCAAACUCCUCGUGUAUCAGCAUUUCUUUGUCCUCCUCAGGACAAUGGGAAGAGCUAUUUGGUGGCUUCUAUGUGAUAAAGUUUUGAAUUCCUGUAAAGUAAAAUUGUUAUGAGUAUAUUAUUUCUGGACAUUCUAGCUAAUAAAAAAGGAGUUGGGGCAGAAUUUUUACCUUGUAUAUAAUAGGUCUUAUGUAUUUUACUCACAUGAUCUUUAGAGUACACGCUAAGUUACUAGAACAAGAUAGAAAAAACUAGCAAAACAAAUCCCAUCCUCUUCUCACAACCUCUUCUGAGAGAUACAGACCUGCUAGCAGGUAAGUCUCUGCUGAAGACAGGGAAAAUUAUGACAAGGAGCAGUUUCUCUGUAGCCAGGAAUGCCAAAUCCAUUUAUCCUAAUUGAGUUCUCCAUAGAAUCUACCUGAGACAAUGCUUUUCAUACCAAAGACCUCUCCCGGGGCAAGGCGACUGGUCCAUAUUGGCAUCACCAUGUCUCCUGAGAAACUUGGAAGGUUCCUGGUGUUGGGUGGGGCAAGGAGAAGAAAAUGAUGAGCUGUGGCUGCCUUCCAUCCUACCUCAUUGACGUGCUAAGCUCCCUUCUGCUGGGAGGUUUGACACCAAUGACGGGACAGGACCUAACAUCAGUACAAUUGCCUUUUCAGGACGCUCAGCCUCAGACA